CGGGGCCUUUGCAGCCUCCAUACUUAGCGAUGGCCUCCUGGACCCACUUUCUCUCUCAAACUGUCUUUUCUCAUUCCUUUGACUCUGCUGGACUUCGUCAUCCCCACGACCCGGUGUUGAGUCUGAUCACCCAACAUCAUCAGGAUAGAAGCUUCCCUCUCCUCCUCCAGACCUUGUGGUGUGCACGUGGGAGUCCAGGGACUAGAAUACUCAUUUUCAAAGCCUGACAUUGGACCCGGGAGACAGGGAAAAACCAUCCUCAGGAAGUCACAAGAGAAAGAGAGAGCACAGAGGUAUACAGCAUGUGAAACUUUGGACUGCUCAAAGAAGACAUUUUCAAACAUAUCUUUUCAGGACUGUCAAUAGGAACCGUAAGUGAGUUUCAGGCGCAGAGUGAGGCAGUGAGGAAAUAAAAAUAGAGUCCGCGCUUUCAAGUGUUUCCUGAUCUGCUGGGGAAAAUGGUCAUAUUAACACAUGGAGUCAUGGCACAGUGUGUGCUAAGGAUCAUGGUAAAGGUGUACACAGUGAUUUGCUAACAAGAGGGAUAGAAGGUGUGGCUCAGGGAAUGACACAGCUGUCUGAAAGAGUCAAAAUGUACCACAGAGAACGUGACAGAGAUCUGGAUCUCAAAGAAAUGAGAGGUUGCCUAGGGAGCAACAACAAGGAGGGCAUUCCUGGCAGAGGAAAUGGCAUGUGCAAAGAGACAUCAAGAGGAUGAAGCAUUAGAAAUAUAACUAAAUUAUGGUUAUAGCUUGGGUGCCUAUUAAUAGAUCUGCUCAAUAUUAGGCAAAAACAAUAACAAUUGAGAAUUUGUAUAUCAUCUUUGGUGUCUUCUUUGAUAACUUAUUUUGUGUAUGUGUGUUUUUCUUUCCUGCUACUACUCUGGAGACUUGUUCCACUGGUGACCUUUAUGCAUUCUAAACAAUCGUAAUUUCACAGAGUAAGUUGUUCUCUUCUCCCUAUGUGUUUUGUCACUAGCCAUUGUUUUAAAGUAGCUUGCUUGGUUUUUUGUAUUGCAUCUUGUGAAAGCCUAGAUGCCUAGGGGCUUUCAUACAAAUGUAGAAGUCAAAAUACAUUUCUUCUUGGAAGGUAAUAAAGUGUGAAUGUUUUCAACAAAUAAAG
RNAcentral lists this long non-coding RNA (1122 nucleotides) under Homo sapiens (human). RNAcentral's name for it is "HSALNT0112523". The record is from RNAcentral. Lineage: Eukaryota; Metazoa; Chordata; Mammalia; Primates; Hominidae.